Molecule: ribosomal RNA, 670 nt
Filed under: uncultured bacterium
Lineage: Bacteria
Description: bacterial SSU rRNA
Rfam family: Bacterial small subunit ribosomal RNA
Source: RNAcentral
GAGCGAGCUUGCCUAGAUGAUUUUAGUGCUUGCACUAAAUGAAACUAGAUACAAGCGAGCGGCGGACGGGUGAGUAACACGUGGGUAACCUGCCCAAGAGACUGGGAUAACACCUGGAAACAGAUGCUAAUACCGGAUAACAACACUAGACGCAUGUCUAGAGUUUGAAAGAUGGUUCUGCUAUCACUCUUGGAUGGACCUGCGGUGCAUUAGCUAGUUGGUAAGGUAACGGCUUACCAAGGCAAUGAUGCAUAGCCGAGUUGAGAGACUGAUCGGCCACAUUGGGACUGAGACACGGCCCAAACUCCUACGGGAGGCAGCAGUAGGGAAUCUUCCACAAUGGACGAAAGUCUGAUGGAGCAACGCCGCGUGAGUGAAGAAGGGUUUCGGCUCGUAAAGCUCUGUUGGUAGUGAAGAAAGAUAGAGGUAGUAACUGGCCUUUAUUUGACGAUAAUAACUUUUUUAGUCACGGCUAACUGCGUGCCAACAGCCGCGGUAAUACGUAGGUGGCAAGCGUUGUCCGGAUUUAUUGGGCGUAAAGCGAGUGCAGGCGGUUCAAUAAGUCUGAUGUGAAAGCCUUCGGCUCAACCGGAGAAUUGCAUCAGAAACUGUUGAACUUGAGUGCAGAAGAGGAGAGUGGAACUCCAUGUGUAGCGGUGGAAUGCGUAGA